RNAcentral lists this signal recognition particle RNA (95 nucleotides) under Sphingomonas sp. Its description in RNAcentral is "signal recognition particle sRNA small type". It matches the Rfam family "Bacterial small signal recognition particle RNA". From Rfam's summary of the family: The signal recognition particle (SRP) is a universally conserved ribonucleoprotein involved in the co-translational targeting of proteins to membranes. Archaeal SRP consists of a 7S RNA and homologues of the eukaryotic SRP19 and SRP54 proteins. Lineage: Bacteria; Pseudomonadati; Pseudomonadota; Alphaproteobacteria; Sphingomonadales; Sphingomonadaceae. RNAcentral also lists the same sequence under 1 other name. The record is from RNAcentral.
CGCGGAAGUCGGCGGACGGCGCUGUCGCCAACCUGGUCAGAUCCGGAAGGAAGCAGCCACAACGAUUUCGUGCCGGGUCGUCGGCUUCCACCGCU